Strigops habroptila (Kakapo) is the source of this 739-nucleotide long non-coding RNA. RefSeq lists it as uncharacterized. The record is from RefSeq and is a predicted model, not a curated record. Lineage: Eukaryota; Metazoa; Chordata; Aves; Psittaciformes; Psittacidae. The transcript is spliced from 3 exons.
UUUCAGCAUCUUUUUGAGCUCACAGCUAGACUCCUGUUCUUCAAGAGAUGGAAAGUAAAGAAAGUAGCAAAGCUCUGAAGUACUUUCCUGGCUUUGGACCACAUCUUACCCUGCAAUUUAUGAACACGGGGACUUGCAAAUGAGGAUUCAAAAAGCCCUGGCAGCAUCUGCAUUACUUCUCCCUAUCCACCCACAUCUGGUGAGAGUGAUGAGGUUCAUGCAUAAUGCAGAAGCGGAGCUGUGCUUGGGACGUGGCUUUGCAGGUGGUGUUUGUACAGAGAUCUCACAGGUGCACAUGCUGGUGUGAAGACAGCAGCCCUGGGAAUCCAUCAGGCAGCUGUCAUGGUUUAACCUCAGCUGGCAACCAAGGACCAUCGAGCCACUUGCUCGACCCCUGCGCCAUGGGAUGGGGAGGAGAAUCAGAUAACAGGAAAAAAGGUACUAAAGUGAGCUUUCUGGAACACAAACACAUGCUCCCCCAAAAGGAUGACUUCAGCAACAUACAUAUGUGACUCCAAUAAGUAAAAUCGGAUACUUCUUGUUUUUUACUUCUGACUUGCAUCUGGUCAGAGGCAGAACUGAGAGAUGAGUCCAGUUAAAUUUAAACGAAGAUGAAGGUGAUUACACUGAUUUACUGUGAUGUACUGCUAGCUCAAAUAGAUUUCAUUGAUUAACUGACAAUUUAAAUAAACAUCAGUGCAGGCAGAUGGCAUUUAAAUUGGAAGUGAUUUUAAACAUA